Molecule: non-coding RNA, 371 nt
Organism: Biomphalaria pfeifferi
Lineage: Eukaryota; Metazoa; Mollusca; Gastropoda; Planorbidae
Source: the annotation of a GenBank genome assembly
AGUGAAUCCAUAUAAAUAUAUAUUUCAAUAUUUAUACAUAAAAAGGACAUACAUUUUUUUGUUUGCAAAAUUUUAAAAGUGUAAACCAAUGAUUGAACAUUUACAAGAAGUGUUAAGCUUCAGGCUGAUUGACAUCUAUACAACAAAACAUAGACCAAAGUAAGCCAGAAUUAAAACUUGGUUUUGAAUGACAGAAAAUCAUUUCACAGACUUUCAACCAACGUGGGAUUUGGGGCAACACAAGAAACAAACUUUCAAGAUGGGAUAAAAUAGGAUUGUUAAGAACAUUGUCUUAAUUAUUAUUAAUUUGAGUUAAUGUUUUGUUUUUAAAAAACUUUGAAAAUAUGAUGGAAAAAAAAAGGGGGGGGGGG